Molecule: ribosomal RNA, 1614 nt
Filed under: Triticum aestivum (bread wheat)
Lineage: Eukaryota; Viridiplantae; Streptophyta; Magnoliopsida; Poales; Poaceae
Description: partial small subunit ribosomal RNA
Source: RNAcentral
AUGCAAGAGCGCAGGGUGAUUGCCUAUGCCUCCCGUCAAGUGCGUCCUCACGAAGAAAACUACCCGGUUCAUGACCUUGAGCUUGCAGCGGUUAUCUUUGCAUUGAAGCUAUGGCGACAAUACCUUCUCGGUAAUCAUUGUGAGAUCUUCACUGAUCAUCAGAGUCUGAAGUACCUGUUUACUCAGCCAGAUUUGAACCUCCGUCAGCAGCGAUGGAUGGAAGCCAUUGCUGACUACAACUGCGGUAUAUCUUAUACACCUGGCAAGGCUAAUGUAAUGGCCGAUGCCCUAAGCCAAAAGUCUUAUUGCAAUAAUCACCAGGUCUACAAAGCUCCACCCCGCCUUUAUGAAGAGCUAUGCAAGCUGAACCUUCAACUAGUUCCAGAGGGUUCUCUGAAUAACCUUGUUUUGGAACCAACUCUUCUGAAAGCAAUCAAGUCUGCUCAAGCCAAAGAUGCUCAUGUUGAUCUGAUGAAAAGGGAUCUUGCCUUAGAGAAAUCCAGAGAUUUCUCACUUGGUGAAGAUGGAACCUUAUACUUCAGAGAUCGCAUUGUCGUACCCCGGUUCGAGCUUAUGACAGAGAAGGUGAUGAAAGAAGCGCAUGACACCCCUCUCUCUAUUCAUCCGGGAAGUACCAAGAUGUAUCUUGACAUCCGUCAGAAGUACUGGUGGUCUAAGAUGAAGCAAUACAUUGCUCGAUAUAUUGAAGAAUGUGACGUUUGUCGUCGCGUCAAAGCAGAACAUCAAAAACCGGCUGGACUUCUACAACCGCUUCCGAUUCCUGAAUGGAAGUGGGAUAAGAUCCAAAUGGACUUCGUCACUGGCCUUCCCAAGUCUCAGAAAGGUAAUGAUGCUAUCUUUGUUGUCAUCGACCAAUUCUCGAAGGUUGCUCACUUUCUGCCAGUCAAGGAGACUAUCACUGCUAGUCAAUUGGCAACCUUGUAUAUCUCCCGAAUUGUGUCACUCCACGGCAUUCCGAAGGAGAUCAGUUCAGACCGCGGCAGUAUUUUCACUUCUAAGUUCUGGGAUAGUUUCCAAGAGGCAAUGGGAACUCAUAUUACCUGGAGCACUGCUUAUCAUCCCCAAUCCCAAGGCCAAGUCGAGCGAGUCAAUCAAAUUCUUGAAGACAUGCUUCGAGCUUGUGUUAUUUCUUUCGGCAAGAAGUGGGAAGAAUCUCUCCCUUAUGCGGAGUUCUCUUAUAACAACAGCUAUCAAGCCAGCUUGAAGAUGGCACCCUUUGAAGUGCUUUAUGGAUGUAAGUGCCGAACCCCUCUGAAUUGGUCAGAAACUGGGGAACGAGCACUCAUUGGUCCGGACAUUAUUCAACAAGCUGAAGAGCAGGUUCGCCUUGUCCGGGAUAAUCUCAAGGCGGCCCAAUCCCGCCAGAAGAACAAUUAUGACCAGAAACACUGGGGUUCAACUUAUCAACCUGGUGAACAAGCUUAUCUGCGUGUCACUCCUUUGAGAGGCACUCAUCGGUUCGGAGUCAAGGGAAAGUUAGCUCCUCGCUACAUUGGUCCCUUCUGUAUUCUCGCCCGUCGUGGACUGGUGGCUUAUCAACUGGAGUUGCCACCUCAGUUCUCUCACGUUCAUGACGUCUUCCAUGUGUCGUAA